Molecule: ribosomal RNA, 246 nt
Filed under: Triticum aestivum (bread wheat)
Lineage: Eukaryota; Viridiplantae; Streptophyta; Magnoliopsida; Poales; Poaceae
Description: partial small subunit ribosomal RNA
Source: RNAcentral
AUGGUAAAGUGGGCGGAUAUUUGCAUGCCUAAGGACCGUGGUGGCUUGGGCAUCACUGCCUCCUGCCGUAUGAACGUUGCGCUCAUGUUGAGAUGGGUCUGGCGGAUCUUACGCGGCGAGGGAGGACUAUCGCUACAGCUCAUUCAGGCGAAAUACCUUAGGGGUGAACCGCUCAGGCAUGCAACCGGACGGAGGGCUCACAAUUCUGGCGAGCCAUCCAAAGGAUCAAGGAGGACAUCCGCCUAG